UACGUAGGGUGCGAGCGUUGUCCGGAAUUAUUGGGCGUAAAGGGCUCGUAGGCGGUUUGUCGCGUCGGGAGUGAAAACUCAAGGGCUUAACCCUGAGCCUGCUUCCGAUACGGGCAGACUAGAGGUAUGCAGGGGAGAACGGGAAUUCCUGGUGUAGCGGUGGAAUGCGCAGAAUAUCAGGAGGAACACCAAUAGCGAAGGCAGCUCGCUGGGACGGUAACUGACGCUGGAGGAGCGAAAGCGUGGGGAGGCGAACAGGA
This 260-nucleotide ribosomal RNA is filed under the name uncultured bacterium. Its description in RNAcentral is "partial 16S ribosomal RNA". It matches the Rfam family "Bacterial small subunit ribosomal RNA", at positions 524 to 777 of the family's 1533-position model. The record is from RNAcentral.